Globicephala melas (long-finned pilot whale) is the source of this 2355-nucleotide long non-coding RNA. RefSeq lists it as uncharacterized. The record is from RefSeq and is a predicted model, not a curated record. NCBI's taxonomy places the organism in Eukaryota, Metazoa, Chordata, Mammalia, Artiodactyla, Delphinidae.
ACUCAUUUUCUGGGCGGGCUCCAAACCUUGCGAUGUUGAAAUGGAUUUCAUUGCUCAGCUUCCCUCCACAGAAGACCUUCCCCACCAACUGUUAUUGAUGAGAUGGACCCUGCUUUCAGGAAACGUCAACCUAUUGGAUUACUUCUGGUUUAAACCACGCUGAUGGAGAAACACACAGCUUGGGUCAAAUUUAUCCUCUCCUUGGAAUGCUGCCUCUCUGCAGACAGUUCUGCAGACUAGAAGGAGAUGCUGGUAGCCAUCAGCCCUUUUAUGAUGAGUAAAAUGAGGCCAGGAUAGAAAAAAUAUCCAGUAAGAGGCAGUAAGCAGAACCAGACGUCAAGAUGGUGGUCCUGAGUUCCAGCCUUGGAUGCCCCCAAGUCUGUGGAGAAGGUGAAGACAUAGCUGGGGUCACCUCAGGUACCAUCAGCCAUGAGGAGACAGAGGCUGAAGGAGAGUAAGUGAUGUGUCCAAAAGACACGAUGUUACUGGCCGCCUUGGGACUUGAACGCCAUCUGUUUGACAUCAGUAUCUGGGCUUUUAAUCACUUUGGCUGUGAUAUGUAUGGGCUCUGAGAACAUGUCCUGUGUUUGAUUCUUGGCCCAUCACUUUCUGGCUUUGUGAUCUUGGGAACCUCCUGCUCUCUGAGCUUCAAUUCCCUGAUUUGCAAAACAGGGAUAGUAAACACUGCCUCAAAAGAUUGUUGUAAGGAUUAUAUGGGAUAAUCUAUGUACAUGCCUGUCACAUAGUAGGUGCCAAUGUAUGUUAGUUCUCUUCUAUUUAAAAAUAAGGUAACAAAAAAAAUGAACCAACAAAUAAGUACUUGUCCCUCAAACCUGCCCUGUUGGAUCACCCUUCCCUGCUCCGGGCCACAUCCUAUAGCUUUUUCCAGUCACUUUCAGAUAUUGGAAGUUUUAUUUUCAGGUAUUAAAAAGUCCAGGAGGAUCUAAGUCAAUACUUUCAUUUCACAUCUAAUUUGAGCUUUUCUUUUUCUUCCCUGCCUGUGCUCAGUAGCCAGUGGAGGUGAGAGGGUGGUUGUUUAUUUCUUUAAGUUCCCUGUUGCAUCACAUCCCACCUACUGGCUACUGCCUGCGGCUCCUCUAGGGCUGGGGCUGGAGAAGAAAUAAGAGGAAAGGCACAUCUGACUCCAUUGAUGCUGCUGUAAUUUGGUAGCAGGGUCCUCCACAUGCUCUGUGGGCAUCCAAAUGCUGGCUCUUGCCCUCAUGGAGUACUUUUGAGGGUUCUUCAAAGGUUUCCCAGAAGGUGGUCCUCCUACACUGGGGUCUCUGGAUGACCUCCAAUGACUUCCCCUAAACUCCUUCUCCAGUGUCACCCCCCCACCCCAGUCUCUGUGCUGGAGUCACUUCACUGCAGCAAGGCAUCCUCUAGGGCAGAUCCCGUUCAGGACAACUCAAGUCCAGCUCCUACCGUGACAUCCAUUUAUCCCAGGGAAGGUUCCACCAGACUCAGGACACUCAGACUUUCAUACAAGUGGCUCCAGCUUGCCCCUUGCCUUCUGAUUUUGCUAGGUGAGCAUCAGAUGCCAGUCUCCCAUCUCUAUGGCCCUCAAGCUCUCCAGGUUCUCCAGAAACUCUUGCUCCUGUCCCAUGGAGCAAAGAUUCCCUUCUCCCCUUUACAAUACCUUCUAGAAGUGAUUCUCUUUAAGGCUGAGAUGAGGGGGCAACAAUCAGGACCCCUUCCUAGGCCAACAGCUUCCAGUGAAUUCCCUGUUUGACCAUCCUUAAUUAACCUCCAGCCUUCUCUUCUAUAUGAGAUUGAGGUGGGUGAUGGUGAAGGUCACAAGUUGGAUUUCCCUAUUUCUUGGUAAGCCCUGCAGAUGAUAUGUGUCUAAUCACCCUCUUUAGAAUGUAUGGGGACUUAGUCAUCAUUUUUCUCAGCUUUGGGACCUCAGUCUAAAUGCCAAAAUAAUAAAAAAUAUUUCUAUUUAACAUACAGUUGCAAUUCUCUCUCCUAUGUACAUUGCACACAGUGUUCAAAGUCCAAUGGUAUUCCAAGAGUAAUAACAGAAAAGAACAAUUGCCUCUCCCAUCCAUCCUGUCUCUGUGUCCCUCUUCCCAAAAGCAACCACUUCCAAUAUUUUCUGCAAUUUAUUUUGAUAAUUAUGUCCUUAUUUCUCAAUAACAUACGUGUGAUUAUUUCUCAAUUUCUGAAUUUUAGGUAUUAUCGUUGUCUUCCUAAAUAGGAGAGGAGAAUUCAAAUCUUCCACUGCACUCCCUCCUUUCACCCACCCCUACCACAAAUGUUUCCUUUCCCCCACCUUCCUAAUAUGGUUAUAUGACAUUUUUUGGAUUAAAUAGUGUAUCUGUUAUUGUUGCUAUGUAAAUGUUAACAGUUUAA